AAAUUUUCGAUCGGGAGAUUUGGAAAUUGGCGGGAACGGGGACUAAUAACACGAUAGGCUUUUAUGCACCCAAAGUCUGCGAUAAGUCGGUGAAUGGCGAAACGGUGCGUUCUAGCCUUUCAGUAUGAAGCAUCGUUCACAGAGACCAGGCCAGUUCCGAUUUGAGGGGCUGAAAUCUGCAGUCUUUGAUUCUUGGUAAGAAAUAGAUAAACUGAUGAUCACACAAAGAUUCAGAAAGCUAACCCUGACCCUAAUUCCAAAAUGAACGCCAUGAACGAGAAGAAAAUUAACAAUAAUAAGAAGAAGAAGAGUGAAUUCGAGUUUUGCAAGGUUUGCAAUCUGAAUCAAGAUCAAGGACAGCGCCACAAGUACUUUCCUAUCCACAAGAAGUCCCUCUCUGCUUUCGUCUCUCGAUUCCAGAGCAAGCUCCCGGACAUUCGAUUCUUUCUCAAAAACCCUAGUGUUCUUGGCCCCGAACACAACUGUCGCAAUCUGCUGCUGGAGCGUUUUCUGCGAUACUGACAUCGACGACAUAGGCAGCUCCUUCGCUUGUGCUAAUGCAAUAAAUCAUCUGGCAAAGUGGGUCAUGUGAAGAACUUGCUGUGGAAAUAUGGUGGUGACAUGGAUCGCACGGAUGCUUCUCGAUUUUUGGAAGCUGGUGUAGCUAAGUGGGAAAGGAAGUGCAAAUCACUAGAGAAUGAGGAUGCAUCAUCCAGUGAUGAAUCUCAUGUGCUUGAAGUUGAACCUUCAAAUGAUGUCCGAAAUGAACUCAACCACAAAAUAUAAAUACCUUUGAAAGCUAUAUUUUUUACCCUAUUAGAUCAAAUCUUUCUGAUAGUGUUAUGCCUUUACAUAAUCAUAUGAAUGAGUAUCAGAUAUCCCAUUCAGGACUGUCAGCAGUUUACAAAUGUUGGGUCAUUUGUACAUGAUGCUGUCUCUUCUAUUCCUGCAGAUGCAUUGAAUCCAAAUGAUUGAACAGGUGUGGAUAAUUUGUUUGUUUGAUAUCUUUUUUGUUCAAUAAACUAAUUUGCUUGUUUUAUGUUUAGUUUUGCUGUGUGGAGUUUACACUUAAUGCUAUUUUGUUGGUAUGUUUAUGUGUUUGGAUUAUGCAAUUAAUUGGAAUAGUCAACAGCCUCGUAAAAGUGUAGUAUCCUCUGGUGAUCUUAAUUAUAGAAGGGUGAGUUGGAUCCUUCACACAUUUCCUCUGUAAAUUUAGUUUGCUUCUAGAAAUUGGAAAUUUAUUUGUUACUUUGAAUCUUUUUUGGCUGGGUGGCUAAAAUUGGACGUUGUAGUUUAUAUAUUCUUUACAUAGAUUUUUAAUUAUCAUUUUGUCAUUUUUUGUUGCCAUCAUUAGGUAAAACCAUUUAAGAUUAACAGUUGGGUUCUCACUUCUCAGAAUGUAAUUUGCAGCUUAUAUAGUAGAUGGCUGGUGAUGUCUUUGAAUCUAGGUGUUGCUUUUUUAUUCUGUCAAUAAAUGCCACACUUUUGGGAGAUCUGUUGAGUAUCUGACGAGGUGAUAUAGAGACCCCCAGGUUUUUCGUACACAUUCUUUUCCUUUAGAUGAUUGUUUUGGGCACUGUACAGAGAUUGAGGGCAGCUAAGACCACAUUUUGUUUUUUCACUUUUCUGUCUUCGGAGGUGGUUUAGGUGCACAGAAAACUAUACAAUGUAAAUCCUUGUUUAGCAUUUUUUCAUGGAUGUUGUCAUUAGUCUGUUAACUACUUUCAUACCAUCCUGGUACUAAUUUUCUGAUCAUUUACUUGAGGGGUAAGUGCAUACAUAUGUAUGUGGUGAUGUCAUGUUCUUUGCAUAUUAUACUAUUUAGUAUUGUACUAUUGUUAAUAAGUGUAUUUAUUAACUGUCUACUGUUACUUAUUAACUUGUGCAAAGUGCAAACAAUGACUUGUAUUUCCUGGUCCAGUUUUCAUAUUGUAGUUCUGCUGUAUGGUCAGGUAUUGCAAUACAUUCAUAUCCCAUUUCAUAUUUGAACAGUAUAAUAUGUGCCUUUUAUUUCUUUGACAAUAUGCUUCUUCUAGAUGCCCCUUGACAUCUGCAUGCCAUUGCAUGUUCUAUUAUGAUUGAUGCUUAUCCAAACAAUAUUUCUUUUCUGCUGUAUGCUUGAAGCUCUAAGAAAUGAAAUUUAUGAUUUUUUUCUCUUUGGUAUAGGUGAGCCAAGGUUAUCAGGGUGGAGGGAUGGUAAAUGGAGUGACCAGUUCACAAGGUUCGCAUAAUAUCACUCAAACUUCUGCCACUCCUCCCAAGAAGGCUGGAGGGAAUGUGCAUACUGGAGGACCUCCUCCUUGGUUUGAAGCAACUGAAGAAAAUCAUCUAAGUGCUGAAUUGAAACCAAUUUCAUCUAGCUUCAUCUCCCUCUCGAACAAGCCAGGGAAAAAAUUAAAUCCAAAAAGGGUGGGAGCUGCUUGGGCAGAAAGGAGAAAAAUUGAGCUGGAGAUGGAAAAGAGAGGAGAAAUUGUCAAGAGUGACUGCGAUGAUAACUGGCUUCCCAAUUUUGGUAGAGUUUGGCAAUCAGGAAGUAGGAAGGAAUCUAGAAAAGAGUUUGAGAAGGAGAAACAAAAAUUACCCAAGGUUGAAAGUCAUUCUGAGAUGCCUCUUAAAAUAAAGCCUUACAUCAGUAAAAGAAUGCGACGGGAUGCAAGUGAAAGUGAAUGAUGGCCAAGGAUGUAUAGUGAUUAUCAUGCAGAAGAAAGAUAGCGCAGGUGCUAGACAUGGUGAGAGGUUAACAUGUAUAUUCUACUGUGAUUCCCCUUACCUUUGAAUUUGAGAUCAAUUGAAUUGGAUAUUGCCAUCAAAAGUGAAAAGGGAUAUUAGUGAACUUCAGUCCAGAAUUGGUAAAUCAGCUGUUGGGGUUUGUGUUGUAAUCAUGACAAUGCAAGGUAUGGCAGCUGUUGACGCUCGGUACUCUUUCAUUGUGCUGAAAUGAAACUAUCCCGCAUCUCAUAUUCCAGAAAAGAGAUUAUUGGUUUCUACUUUUGGUAUUGUGAAAUGUUGCAAUUUAUCAAAAUAGGAUACACAAUGUAAUUACCACAUUCUAUUCACUGUGUGAAAUCCAUGGCAAUAUACUUUCUCUGUUCAGAUGUUAGAGCAGUGUGUCAUGACACAUGACACAAGCUACUUGCACUAGCUAUCUGAGCAUAUAUGAUUUAUGCUAGUACUAAAGCCUAGACAUUUGCUAUAUAAUUUAGUGGAACAGAUGAUUCAUUUUUAGAUUUAAGAGUACUAGAGUAGUUGGUUCAAUGAGUUAGAAAAUGCAAGAAACUGCAAGUUUGUAUAGAAGGUUCUUUCAUUUGACAAACCAGUUAACAAUGUGCAAUUCUCAGUGCUUCUACUCUCUGCAUAAAUCAACUCAGUAAAAAUAAUGAAGCAGCAUAUGGUUCAAGGCUGAAAGUAUUUUUCUUUAUAUAUUUACACGAUUAUGUAUACAUAGUUAUAUACUUUCCACUUUGUUCUUGGAAUUGUUCUCUAAUGCAUGGCAGUGAUUUGAUAUUGUGCGGUUGUGUCCCUUGAUUGACGUGACCAUGGCUGGUGUGUGAAAAAAUUUGUGGCAUCUGAAUACAUGUUUUUGGUGAUGCACUUGGGCACAGCAGAGAAUGGUCAUGACAUGAUGGAACUUGAUUCUUUAUGCAUUCACCUCAGAUCGCCUUCAGUUUCUGCAAAACCUUGUAGAAUCUGAUUUACCUGUGAUCUCAAAAUUCCAAAGCUUACCCUUUGAUGAAACUAAGUUCUCAUCACACAGGGAAUCCCAGGAAAACGACUUCUCAAUUGUUUGAUCUACAUCAUGUACUAGUGCAUCUGUUGUAUUUCGAGCUUUUGUUAUUAUACUAGCUGUGUAGAUUGUAGCCAUCCUGCCUGGGGCCGCUGGUAAGUGUCCGCUUGGUCCAUUCACCACCACCACAUCCCAUUUCUGCUCAUAUGCUUCUGGUGGUAAAUUUGUUAAAGCAAGUCUGCAUGCUGAAUUUGGAAACCUUCCUGAGCGGGGUGCACAAACUGGACUUUUCCUUGCAUGCUUGAGCAGUUUGCAAGCUUUCUUUGCAGGAUUGUCCUCUAGAAGGACAGUGAUGCCGCCUGAGUUGAUUGAGGAGAGUUUUAGGUACUGGGGCUCCAGCCCAAAAAUAAGUAGGUUGCGGGGGGCCUUAUGCCUAAUGAGAUUAGAUAGACGCUUAAAUUCCUUUUUCGUGAGAAUGGUUGCAUUGGCAGAGAUUUUAUGUUGAGUGGCUGGGCUGCUAGCCAUAUUUGAUGAAACGUUGGUGCAUUCUGGAGACGCAGAAUAACAUGUCUCAUGCAGAGUUAGAGGAAAGGCAGGCAAUGGAGUAGUAGAAGAUGUAGUGGUUGCAAGUCUAAGAAGUCUAAGGAUGGAGAUGGGUGAUAAAAUGAAAACAAGGAAAGGUAUGACUUAUUUUCCAGUUAUUUUUGUAGUUUUAUUUCCUCCGAGAGAUUUGUGGCCAAUAGGCAGAUAGGUAUAUGCUUCAGGUGAGAUUGGAGGUGAAAACUUAACAAGAGGAGUUGUUAGGGAACGGUAAUGAGGUACUUCUGAGGGCAUUUUUUGUCCCUUGCCUCUUCCUUUUAGUGGCGCACUGUGAAGAUUGCAUCUGUUCCUUGCAAGGUAUUGGUUGGGUUUUCUAUGACAAUACGUGUGUAAUUAUGAAGCUUUAAUAUUUUCUUGAGAAGGAAUGAGCCUUUGCUUUUGUUCCAAGUGUUACCUUCUUCCAUGGAGCUGUUAGCCAGUUACCUAAUUGCUGUGGUUACCAUUGUACGAGUCAAUGAUGCUCAUGUGUAUCAGUUACGAAAAGAAUAAUGGAAGAGCUGGUUUUUCAAUAAUUUUUUCUUAGGAUUGGUGAGUGUCUUGAAACUUGUAGGAAACUGAGUCGUUGGCUCGUAGUUGUCAUUUUGCUCCUUUUUUUGGGCUCGCUUGAUGCAUUUGAGUGAGGCUGAAGAAGGCUAGCGUGUGGUUGAG
This 4972-nucleotide unclassified non-coding RNA is filed under the name Hevea brasiliensis (rubber tree). Lineage: Eukaryota; Viridiplantae; Streptophyta; Magnoliopsida; Malpighiales; Euphorbiaceae. The record is from RNAcentral.